UUCGAUACAGCAACAGCAACUGGCAUUGGUGCCUCAACUGGGCCUGCAGUAAUAUUGGGCUUUGAAAUCUUGGGUGGACGUCCACGACCUCUUUUAACUAACCCAGAUCCAACAGCCUUAAUGGGUUUAGGCUUCAUAAUCUUAGGUGGACGCCCACGGCCUCUGUUAGCUAACCCAGAUCCAACAGCCUUAAUGGGCUUGGGCUUCAUAACCUUAGGUGGACGCCCACGACCUCUUUUCACAACAGGACUACCAGAAGUUGGAACUACCGGAACAGUUGUUACGACGGU
Molecule: long non-coding RNA, 290 nt
Filed under: Aquilegia coerulea
Lineage: Eukaryota; Viridiplantae; Streptophyta; Magnoliopsida; Ranunculales; Ranunculaceae
Description: long non-coding RNA (ACOE_LNC001729)
Source: RNAcentral